CCUACGGUGUGCAGCAGUGAGGAAUAUUGGUCAAUGGGCGCGAGCCUGAACCAGCCAAGUAGCGUGAAGGAUGACUGCCCUACGGGUUGUAAACUUCUUUUAUAAAGGAAUAAAGUGAGUCACGUGUGCCUUUUUGUAUGUACUUUAUGAAUAAGGAUCGGCUAACUCCGUGCCAGCAGCCGCGGUAAUACGGAGGGUCCGAGCGUUAUCCGGAUUUAUUGGGGUUAAAGGGAGCGUAGAUGGGUUGUUAAGUCAGGUGUGAAAGUUUGCGGCUCAACCGUAAAAUUGCAAUUGAUACUGGCAGUCUUGAGUGCAGUUGAGGUUGGCGGAAUUCGUGGUGUAGCAGUGAAAUGCUUAGAUAUCACGAAGAACUCCGAUUGCGAAGGCAGCUUACUAAACUGCCACUGACAUUGAUGCUCGAAAGUGUGGGUAUCAAACAGGAUUAGAUACCCGUGUAGUC
Molecule: ribosomal RNA, 460 nt
Filed under: uncultured bacterium
Lineage: Bacteria
Description: partial 16S ribosomal RNA
Rfam family: Bacterial small subunit ribosomal RNA
Source: RNAcentral